UACGUAGGGGGCAAGCGUUGUCCGGAAUUAUUGGGCGUAAAGGGCGCGUAGGCGGCCUGGCAAGUGGAAGGUGAAAUCCCUCGGCUUAACCGAGGAACUGCCUCCCAAACUGCUUGGCUUGAGACCAGGAGAGGUGAGUGGAAUUCCCAGUGUAGCGGUGAAAUGCGUAGAUAUUGGGAGGAACACCAGUGGCGAAGGCGGGUCUCUGGGCAGUAACUGACGCUGAGGAGCGAAAGCGUGGGGAGCGAACAGG
This 253-nucleotide ribosomal RNA is filed under the name uncultured bacterium. Its description in RNAcentral is "partial 16S ribosomal RNA". It matches the Rfam family "Bacterial small subunit ribosomal RNA", at positions 524 to 776 of the family's 1533-position model. The record is from RNAcentral.